GUUUUUUCCCCCGUUGUCUUUCUCUUUAUUUAAACCACACGCACGCAUAAUAAAGAUGUUGUGAUGUUCGAAGUGCCCCUGAAUGCCCCUCGCUGUGGUCUCAUGAAGAAGUGUCCUUCAGAGGAGGACAACAGACAUGAUUACUCCAAACGACUUCUCAUGGUCCUCUGGAAGAUCUCCUGCACCUCGUUUUCAUCCUUGUUGACCUCAAAAUGACUCCGGCUGUACCUGUGCCGGUGCUGGAAUGUUGAGAAUAGAUAUGUCUUCAAUGGCAACAAGCAUGUGAUCGAAGACCUGAAAAAACAGCAAUUCUUGAGAGACCGACGCUGGCAGCGUUCCAGCAGGUCCCAAUGAUGGCGUAGACCAUGAUGGUCCCCAUGUUGCUGAAGAACAGCUUGUUCGGCAUGAAGUAGCCCGCAUCCAGGAUGAUUUGAGGCAACAGGUAAAAGAAAAAGACGGUCGGGGUGAGUUUGAAGGUCUGCACCUUGUCUGCACCCCAGAUUAUGCCACCCAGGAUGAAACCAAAGCAAAUGAGCAGGGCGCUCUCUGGGAUGAUGUUGGUCACAUGAUGGUUAGCUUCAAUCACUGCAGAAACAUAGAAAACGGUGAGAGAAUUAGAUACAAGGAUUUGUCCAUCAGUAAAUAAAUGUAAAGGAGGUGAUGAAUAAGAACGGAGUCUGUGAAACGAGUCGUAAUCUCAGUUUGAAUCAGGUCGUUUAUUUUCAGGCAUUGCCUUUUGCCGCCAGACCAGACUUGAGACUCAGCAUUGGAACCAAACCAUAAAAAGAAAACUGCAACAAGGUUGCAAAAUUUGCAAAUGAUCAACUGUUGCGCUUUUGGUCCUUGGCAUAUCAUUAACCAGUGUGUCUGCAUAUAUAAAUGCCCAGAAAUAUCUUUACAUAACUCAAGAGACACUUUUGGUUAAGGCUGCUUGACUUGAUGGCUUAAUAAUCAAGCCCACUGAAGCAGUGAAAACAAAGUCACAUUUCAAAAUGUUGAUUUAUGACAGUUUGGCUUAAUUGUUAUUGUGUUGAGGUGUUGCGUUAAAGCGGAGUUAAAUAAUCAAGGUCAAACCUGAUGAUAGCAACCAUACCGAAGAAAAACACGCAUUACCAAUGUGCAGCAUGAUCAUUCACAUUGGAGCAUGACUUUUCUUCACAAUAACUGAAAAAUUAAACUAUAAUAAGCUCAUAAGAUGAACAAACAGAACACUUUGUCCAUCUAAAAAAAUCUAACAGGUUUCUGGUGAAAACAACAACAAGUCAAUUUUAUUUACAUAGCACCAAUUUACAGCACAAGUGAUCUUAAGGCACUUGACACAGCGCAGGUCUAGAACCACGAUCCUCAUCUUUCAAGAGAACCAGAUGAACCCCACACGAGCAAGCACUUGGGAUGGAGGAAAAAGGAAAAAACUCUUGCCUGGCUAACAAUGGACACAAUGUAAUGUAAUGUAAUGUAAUGUAAUGGCUAAGUCAGGGGUGUCCAAAGUGCGGCCCGGGUACCAUUUGUGGCCGCACCACGAUGUAAAAAUAGAAUUUAACACCAAAACAACAAAAACAGAACAAAUUGAAAAAUCAGCAGUAAUGUUAAGAAAAUAAAGAAAAAAGUUUAAUACGAGAAAAGUAUCAUUUUAGUACCCUCAUGUUGCAAUAUUAAAGAAAAAAUAUGUUAUUUUUGUUAAAAGUUGUAAUAUUUUGAGAAACAAACACAACAACGAUUAAAGUUGUCAUUUUUGGAAAAUGUACUAGUUGAAAUACUUGGAAAAUGUAAAAAAAAAAAAAAAAAAAUUGUAAUUUUACGGGUAUAAAGUUAAAAUAUUAAGAGAAAAUUGUUGUUUUACAACAAGAAAAAAAGUCGAAAAAAGUCAUAACAUUAUGAGGAAAAAUAACGUCAGUUCGGCAGCAUAGAGCUGAAAUAUCAAAACAAAUGUAUGUUUUUUUAAAGUUGUAAUAUUAUCAGAAACAAACAAAACAAAAUAAAGUUGUAAUUUUUGGAAAACUGGUUGGGGGGGGCGUUGUAAUAUUAUGGGAAUGCAGUCAAAAUAUUACGGGAAUAAAGUCAUAAUAUGAGAAUAACAUUUACGAAGAUCAUUUAGGUCGAAAUUUGGGAAAAAAACAACAACAAAAAUCGGAAAAAAGAAAAGCAGAAGUUCAUAUAAAUAAUACACUUUUUCACCAGCAUCACAAAGCUGAGAUACAAGUUUAAAAAAAACAAAAAAAAGGAAAUUUUUAGCAUAUCUACAUGUGUUUUACAAAAUAACAAAGCGGCCCUUGCGCCCUUUCAUUUUUCUGUGGCCCUUGGUGAAAAUUGCUUGGACACCCCUGGGCUAAGUGAGCCAAGAAUAGAUUUUGGGGAGUAUCAUUAAUGACAAAUAACUGCCUGACAGAAAAACGUUGGUGCGUCAUCCUCAGCAACCGAUGGAGCAUGUACUCUCCUCUCUUACAGUUAGAUAAUAAGUUGUAUUUUAUGUUCAUCUACGAGUCUAGAAUGAUUAUCCAGCAUUUUUACAUACCCAGUUUUGACAUAAAAGCUGCCAAUACCCAUAAGGCAACUAGAUAAGGGCUCUCCACGUGAUGCCACUUGAAGGACACGAUGGGUAUUCCGGUGAUGCUGGAAGCAUGGCCAUGCUCACUUGUGUUGGAUCUGGAAUUUUCAUGUUCUGGAAUCUUGUCCCCAUUCACCGCAGGGACCCGGGGAAUGAAAAAAAUCAGCAAUAUUGACCCUAGGAGCCAAAUGUGUGCACAUCCACAUCGCUCCAUUUGUACGAAAGACAGAAAAAAAUAGUCCUGUGAUGUGAAGGAGGUACGAGAGUAUGUCACAGUUGUUUUUCCUGGGAUGAAUUUCUUCCUUCUUACUCACUCUUGUUUGCUCUUUUUCAUGUCUCCUACUAUCUUCUGGUAGUCAUUGUCCUAUCUCUGUGACUUAUGUUCCCUUCUUCCUCCCACAAAGAAAUAGGCAGAACCCUGGACUCAGCCUUUUAUAUCUUCAGUGUCUCCUCUGUGACCAAGGUUGAGAGGUGGAUUAAAUGGAGUGUAACGGAUGUCCAGGAAAGGUGUCCAGUUAUUCAGUCACAUUUGAAACACCCGGCAUUCAAGUAUUUUUCCGGUGGUGUCAAAGUUUGCCAUCAGUUUGCUCCCAGUAAGUGAUGGAUUACAGGCUAUUCCAUAGAUGUUAAAUGAAUAGCUUUGUGCGCGUUUGGCUACAUUUCUACGGCUUCAUCGUGCAGGUUUGUGCUGAGUAAUGAUUGACACCGUUGUUGCACAAUCUUUAGUUAAAGCCUCCGGUUGUUUUAUUUUAAACAAACUUACGCAAACUUAUGGACACGUACAGCUUUGAGUUACCGGAGUGUGUAUUUCUACGUCUUUAUCAGGGAUUUUCAAAAAUAUACUAAUUAAUAAAGCAUGCUGUUUCAUGUUUGCCUAUUAUGAGUAAAAAAAAAAAAAGACAUAUUUUUGCCUAAAUUAAGCAUGUUCAAGCAUAAAAGUGCCUAAAUGAACUUAAAAUCAAAUCUAAGGCAGUCAAAAGACUUUGCGAAAAUAUGUAGUAUUCUGCACUGGUCACUAGGUGUCAGUAAUGUUACCGUAAUGUUCGGUGUGAUGCACAAGCACUAGGCUUUUAUUGCAGGUUUCAAUGACCUCACAACAGGCACGAUAAUGUUACCAACAAUGCGGCAGCGAGACACCCAACGGACACCAUUUUCUUGUUUCGUCAUGAGUUAUUUCUUGAAUUCAGGAGUGUUUCUCAUCUUCUUUAUCACAAUGCUGGCACGUGCGACUUUCUUUGGCUCCAUUUUGGGUUACUGAGGUGACAAACACUAUUGAAUUCAAGAAAUAACUCGUGGCAAAACAGGAAGGUGGUGUCCGUGUCAUGUCUCGCUGCCACAUCGUGUCUUUGCGGAGAGCAGAUCAGGAAUCGUGUCCACAUUGAAGGUAAAAGCAACCUGGUCAUUCACCCUUUCAUUGAUCA
Long non-coding RNA from Dunckerocampus dactyliophorus (ringed pipefish), 3966 nucleotides. RefSeq lists it as uncharacterized. The transcript has 4 exons. Lineage: Eukaryota; Metazoa; Chordata; Actinopteri; Syngnathiformes; Syngnathidae. The record is from RefSeq and is a predicted model, not a curated record.